GCUAGUUCCGCCCAAGAGUCCAUAUCGACGGCGGAGUUCGGCACCUCGAUGUCGGCUCAUCUUAUCCUGGGGCUGGAGAAGGUCCCAAGGGUUGGGCUGUUCGCCCAUUAAAAAGGUACGUGAGCUGGGUUCAGACCGUCGUGAGACAGGUUGGUCUCCUAUCUACUGCAGGCGUUGAUUCUUGAGGGGGGGUUCUCCCUAGUACGAGAGGACCGGGAGGAGGUGACCUCUGGUGUACAAGCUGCCGCGCCCGCGGCAUCGCUUGGUAGCUAAGUCACUGAGUGAUAAGCGCUGAAAGCAUCUAAGCGCGAAGCAUGCCCCAAGAUUAGGAAUCGCAAAGACCCGUGGGAGAUUACCACGUUGAUAGGCUUUAGGUGUAAGCGCCGCAAGGCGUUCAGCCGAGAAGUACUAAUCAGUCAAUUCCCGCUCCGAU
This 433-nucleotide ribosomal RNA is filed under the name bacterium. RNAcentral's name for it is "partial 23S ribosomal RNA". It matches the Rfam family "Bacterial large subunit ribosomal RNA", at positions 2481 to 2925 of the family's 2925-position model. The record is from RNAcentral.